UAUUAUGGAUGUUGAUUAAGCUGGAAUAGUUACUAGUUAGCUAUAGGAGGUGAUUCAUUUAACGUGGACAACUCAGAAAAAUGAUGUCCAGGCGAAUUUGUUUCGAUUCUCCAUAGUGGAAUUGAGCUUCUAUGCUUUUAAAAGUACUAAGUGAUUGGUGCUUAUAAGUUUUCGGCCACUGGAUCAAGAAAUGUGCAGUUAGGAUGAUUGUGGUCCUCUAGAGUUGAGUAGUGGUGAUUGGUUGAAUAGUAUGAUCUAACGAGUGAAAAUGAUAAAAAAAAGUAGAUCCAAAGGCGAAAAACUUACAAGCACCAAGUACGUGUGCUUUUAAAAGUAUAGUAGCUAGACUCCUCCGUAGUGUUUGAUUAGUCGAAAAGCGUAAAAAACUAUUUUUAUUGAAAAAAAUUAAUAA
Molecule: long non-coding RNA, 412 nt
Filed under: Ananas comosus (pineapple)
Lineage: Eukaryota; Viridiplantae; Streptophyta; Magnoliopsida; Poales; Bromeliaceae
Description: long non-coding RNA (ACOM_LNC036723)
Source: RNAcentral